This 783-nucleotide ribosomal RNA is filed under the name uncultured bacterium. RNAcentral's name for it is "bacterial SSU rRNA". It matches the Rfam family "Bacterial small subunit ribosomal RNA", at positions 28 to 808 of the family's 1533-position model. The record is from RNAcentral.
GACGAACGCUGGCGGCGUGCCUAACACAUGCAAGUCGAACGGAACUGUUUUGAAAGAUUUCUUCGGAAUGAAUUUGAUUUAGUUUAGUGGCGGACGGGUGAGUAACGCGUGAGUAACCUGCCUUCAAGAGGGGGAUAACAUUCUGAAAAGAAUGCUAAUACCGCAUGACAUAUCGGAACCACAUGGUUCUGAUAUCAAAGAUUUUAUCGCUUGAAGAUGGACUCGCGUCCGAUUAGUUAGUUGGUGAGGUAACGGCUCACCAAGACCGCGAUCGGUAGCCGGACUGAGAGGUUGAACGGCCACAUUGGGACUGAGACACGGCCCAGACUCCUACGGGAGGCAGCAGUGGGGGAUAUUGCGCAAUGGGGGCAACCCUGACGCAGCAACGCCGCGUGAAGGAUGAAGGUUUUCGGAUUGUAAACUUCUUUUAUUAAGGACGAAAAUUGACGGUACUUAAUGAAUAAGCUCCGGCUAACUACGUGCCAGCAGCCGCGGUAAUACGUAGGGAGCAAGCGUUGUCCGGAUUUACUGGGUGUAAAGGGUGCGUAGGCGGCUUUGCAAGUCAGAUGUGAAAUCUAUGGGCUCAACCCAUAAACUGCAUUUGAAACUGUAGAGCUUGAGUGAAGUAGAGGCAGGCGGAAUUCCCCGUGUAGCGGUGAAAUGCGUAGAGAUGGGGAGGAACACCAGUGGCGAAGGCGGCCUGCUGGGCUUUAACUGACGCUGAGGCACGAAAGCGUGGGUAGCAAACAGGAUUAGAUACCCUGGUAGUCCACGCUGUAAACG